CAGUGGGGAAUAUUGCGCAAUGGGCGAAAGCCUGACGCAGCAACGCCGCGUGAGGGAUGAAGGCCUUCGGGUUGUAAACCUCUUUUAUCAGGGAAGAAGCGAAAGUGACGGUACCUGAAGAAAAAGCACCGGCUAACUACGUGCCAGCAGCCGCGGUAAUACGUAGGGUGCAAGCGUUAUCCGGAAUUAUUGGGCGUAAAGAGCUCGUAGGCGGUUUGUCGCGUCUGCUGUGAAAAUCUGAGGCUCAACCUCGGACUUGCAGUGGGUACGGGCAGACUAGAGUGCGGUAGGGGAGAAGGGAAUUCCUGGUGUAGCGGUGGAAUGCGCAGAUAUCAGGAGGAACACCAAUGGCGAAGGCACUUCUCUGGGCCGCUACUGACGCUGAGGAGCGAAAGCGUGGGGAGCGAACAGGAUUAGAUACCC
RNAcentral lists this ribosomal RNA (423 nucleotides) under actinobacterium SCGC AAA028-C09. RNAcentral describes it as "bacterial SSU rRNA". It matches the Rfam family "Bacterial small subunit ribosomal RNA", at positions 352 to 787 of the family's 1533-position model. Lineage: Bacteria; Bacillati; Actinomycetota; Actinomycetes. The record is from RNAcentral.